CAUUCAAGCAAAAAUAAAAUAAAGAGACUUUAGCGGCGCCAGCCUUUAGCGUCGUUAUCAUCAAUUAACUUCUCAGCGCAUCUCCACUACCGAGGUUCGUCAUAUCUCAUACCGGUCUAUUACAGCAGUAGCCAACCCUCGAGUACUACUGCGUACAAGAGUGUCCCACGUCUUACGAUGAUAAGCGAUCUGACUUGCCCCAACGAAUUUAUCUAAGUAUCGGAACUCUAUGGUCGGAAACAGGAGGAUAGGAUAGGGCGGGAGAAUAAAGGUGAAUGACGCAAGGUAAAACAAAAUUCCCAUGCAAAUGAAAUCAUAACUCACAAACCAAAAAUUCUUGUUUGUCUGAUUUAGUUAUUUGGGG
Long non-coding RNA from Daphnia pulex (common water flea), 364 nucleotides. RefSeq lists it as uncharacterized. The record is from RefSeq and is a predicted model, not a curated record. NCBI's taxonomy places the organism in Eukaryota, Metazoa, Arthropoda, Branchiopoda, Diplostraca, Daphniidae. The transcript has 3 exons.